CCUACGGGUGGCAGCAGUGAGGAAUAUUGGUCAAUGGGCGCGAGCCUGAACCAGCCAAGUCGCGUGCAGGAAGACGGUCCUAUGGGUUGUAAACCUCUUUUAUCCGGGAACAACGGACGCCACGCGUGGCGUUCCGAGAGUACCCGAAGAAAAAGCAUCGGCUAACUCCGUGCCAGCAGCCGCGGUAAUACGGAGGGUGCGAGCGUUAUCCGGAUUUAUUGGGUUUAAAGGGUGCGGAGGCCGCAAGUCAAGUCAGCGGUAAAAUUUCGGGGGUCAACCCCUUCCAAGCGGUGGAAACUGGUGUUCUUGAGUGAGCGGGAAGCAGGCGGAAUGCGUGGUGUAGCGGUGAAAUGCAUAGAUAUCACGCAGAACUCCGAUUGCGAAGGCAGCAUACUGGCGCUCAACUGACGCUGAUGCACGAAAGUGUGGGUAUCGAACAGGAUUAGAUACCCGAGUAGUC
Molecule: ribosomal RNA, 460 nt
Filed under: uncultured bacterium
Lineage: Bacteria
Description: partial 16S ribosomal RNA
Rfam family: Bacterial small subunit ribosomal RNA
Source: RNAcentral